Molecule: ribosomal RNA, 665 nt
Filed under: Alexandrium tamarense
Lineage: Eukaryota; Dinophyceae; Gonyaulacales; Pyrocystaceae
Description: eukaryotic LSU rRNA
Rfam family: Eukaryotic large subunit ribosomal RNA
Source: RNAcentral
UAAGUAAGUGGUGGAAAUUAAACCAAAUGGGAUAUCUUUAGUAAUUGCGAAUGAACAAGGAUAUGCUUAGCUUGACAAAUGGAGCUAUUGGCUUUGAAUUGUAUUUGUGGAAUGUAUUACCAACAGAGGUGCAGGUGCCAGCCUAUUAAAUAAAGCGUCAAUGAGGGUGAGAAUCCUGUUUGUCAUGUGCAGCCCUUUGUGCACGGUGUAUAUUUGCUGAGUCACACUCCUUGGCAUUGGAAUGCAAAGUGGGUGGUAAGUUUCAUGUACAGGUAAACAUGCAAUUGAGACUGAUAGCACACAAGUACCAUGAGGGAAAUAUGAAAAGGACUUUGAAAAGAGAAUUAAAUGAGUUUGUAUUUGCUGAACACAAAGUAAACAGACUUGAUUUGCUUGGUGGGAGUGUUGCACUUGCUUGACAAGAGCUUUGGGCUGUGGGUGUAAUGAUUCUUUCUUUGCAUGCCAGUUUCUAUGUGUACAUCUGAUUACCUUUGCACAUGAAUGAUAAGUCUCCUGUGGGGGGUGGAUUGCAUGUGCAUGUAAUGAUUUGUGUUUUGAUAAAUGUGUCUGGUGUAUGUGUGUGUUCCUGUGCUUGGGGAUGCUUCCUUCCUUGGACUUACAAGCCCUGACACACACAUGCUGGCAAAAUGCUUCUGCUUGACCCG